This 253-nucleotide ribosomal RNA is filed under the name uncultured bacterium. Its description in RNAcentral is "partial 16S ribosomal RNA". It matches the Rfam family "Bacterial small subunit ribosomal RNA", at positions 524 to 776 of the family's 1533-position model. The record is from RNAcentral.
UACAGAGGGCUCAAGCGUUGUUCGGAAUCACUGGGCGUAAAGGGUGCGUAGGCGGCUCGGUAAGUCAGAGGUGAAAUCCCGGAGCUCAACUUCGGAAUUGCCUCCGAUACUGCCGUGCUUGAGGACUGGAGAGGAGAUUGGAAUUCACAGUGGAGCAGUGAAAUGCGUAGAUAUUGUGAGGAACACUAGUGGCGAAGGCGAAUCUCUGGACAGUUCCUGACGCUGAGGCACGAAGGCCAGGGGAGCAAACGGG